Molecule: ribosomal RNA, 905 nt
Filed under: marine metagenome
Description: bacterial SSU rRNA
Rfam family: Bacterial small subunit ribosomal RNA
Source: RNAcentral
AGAGUUUGAUUAUGGCUCAGAACGAACGCUGGCGGCAUGCCUCAUACAUGCAAGUCGAACGAGGUCUUCGGACCUAGUGGCGCACGGGUGAGUAACAUGUGGGAAUCUACCUAAAGGUUCGGAAUAACUAUGGGAAACUGUAGCUAAUACCGGAUGUGUCUGCAAAGAGAAAGAUUUAUCGCCUUUAGAUGAGCCCGCACUAGAUUAGCUAGUUGGUGAGGUAACUGCUCCACCAAGGCUACGAUCUAUAGCUGAUUUGAGAGGAUGAUCAGCCACACUGGGACUGAGACACGGCCCAGACUCCUACGGGAGGCAGCAGUAGGGAAUAUUGGACAAUGGGGGAAACCCUGAUCCAGCAAUGCCGCGUGAGUGAAGAAGGCCUUAGGGUUGUAAAACUCUUUCAUCAAUGAUGAUAAUGACAUUAGUUGAAGAAGAAGCUCCGGCUAACUUCGUGCCAGCAGCCGCGGUAAUACGAAGGGGGCUAGCGUUGUUCGGAAUCACUGGGCGUAAAGCGUAUGUAGGCGGAUCAAAAAGUUAGAUGUGAAAUCCCUGGGCUCAACCCAGGAACUGCAUUUAAUACUAGUGAUCUAGAAUGUGGUAAAGGUUAGUAGAAUUUCCAGUGUAGAGGUGAAAUUCGUAGAUAUUGGAAAGAAUACCAGAAGCGAAGGCGACUAACUAGGCCAUUUUUGACGCUGAGAUACGAAAGCGUGGGUAGCAAACAGGAUUAGAUACCCUGGUAGUCCACGCAGUAAACGAUGAGUGCUAGUCGCUGGGACAAUAGUUUCAGUGUCGAAGCUAACGCAUUAAGCACUCCGCCUGGGAAGUACGGUCGCAAGAUUAAAACUCAAAUAAAUUGACGGGGGCCCGCACAAGCGGUGGAGCAUGUGGUUUAAUUCGAAGCAACG